This is a long non-coding RNA of Canis lupus familiaris (dog), 4846 nucleotides long. RefSeq lists it as uncharacterized. The transcript has 11 exons. The record is from RefSeq and is a predicted model, not a curated record. NCBI's taxonomy places the organism in Eukaryota, Metazoa, Chordata, Mammalia, Carnivora, Canidae.
GCACAGAAGUUGGCAACACUGGGAUAGCAUGAGCAGUCCAGAAAGAGCAUGGUGCUGUCCUGCUUCAAUGACGCAUCAUUGGCCAAUUUCCUUAACUUAGCUGGCAGAGCCUAGCAUGAGACAGUCCCUGUCCAUCCUCCCAAGCCCAUGUCUUGCUUCACAACCACCAGCUACGUGCACUCCUUUUUGUCUUCAGAUCAUCAUAAGUAAGCACGAUUCUACUUCAGAGCUGCUGCACUUACUACUUCUUUUCUCUGGAACAUUCUCUCCUACCUGUUUGUAUGGCUGACCCUUUCUUACUCUUUAGGUCUUACCUCCUCCAGGAGGCUACCCUCAGGGCCAUUUUCCCAGAAGCAAAUCCUCUAGUAUUCCCUAUCACAGCACAUACCACAUGUCACAUGGGAUGCAUUGUGACCUGUCAUUACACUCAGCAGUGUAGUGUGAGACCUGGGAGCAGGGACGCUGUCUUGUUCCUGUUGUACCCGUAGUGUCCAGAUCAAUCUCUGACUCUAUGAUUGAUAGAAAUUUGUUGAAUGAAAAAAGGAAAACAUCAAUGAAUGAAUGUAGGAAUGGAUGAAAAAUUUGGAAAGAGACUGGUCUGGGUAUCUGCCAUUGGUUUCUCCAAGUUCAAUCUCCAUCCUUCAUCCAAUUCUGUGUCAUGAAAGGCUGACCUGUACUAACCACAUCAAUAUCUACCCUCUGGGUUGGAUUCAACCAAAAGGAAGCAGCUAAGGGAGAGAAAGGAGUUGGUGCCUCCAGCUGGCUGCAUCUCUCCCCUGAUGGUCUCUGUAAGGAUCUCCUCACACAGUCUCUGCUUCUAGGGAAGGGUACUGGAAGUUGUUUUUCUAAUCAUGAAUUGCAAUCUGGAAUGAGCUGGUCACAUCACUUAGCCUCCUGUCGAGUUCUCUAAUUAAGAAAAUAGGAAAACUCUGAGUGAGGAGACGCCUCUCUGCAGUGUCGGAAGUGAAAAAUCCUUAUCAAUAUCUGACGGAAUAAAGGUCAAUGUUGAACAUACACGAUAACCGGUGGUCUAUGCAAUGUGCCCCGUGUUCCUCCAGGCAAAUAAUUUUAUCAUCUCUUCAUCGAAAGAUGAAUGGAUAAAGAAGCUGUGGUCUAUGUAUACAAUGGAAUAUUCCUCAGCCAUUAGAAACGACAAAUACCCACCAUUUGCUUCAACGUGGAUGGAACUGGAGGGUAUUAUGCUGAGUGAAUGGAGUUGCUACCUCUGUUCCACCCAUGCUUCUCCUGGGGGUUCAAGCUGCCUUCUGCUGCUUUUAGGAAUUGAUGGACCUUGUAGCCACUGCACAGCCAGCUCUCCACCCCAUGGCUCCAUGUCCACAGAUUCAGAAGGUGCUGGGAGGAAAGGGAGAAAUCAAAUCAUUUUGGACAGGAGACUGCAAAAAUACCCUUUGCUCAACCCUGUCUAUUUAUUGCCAGUGUCAACAGUCAAAGCUAGUGACAGAAGACUUUUUGACCUUGUCACUAUUUGAGCUGGAGAAGAUCCGUCUAUAGUUUUACCUUUGAAUCAAAAUCUGAAGGAUCCCUGGAAUUUGAGCAUUAUGAGAAUCUCCGGAAGUACCCAGGACUGCUCUCCCUCGGGGUCUCCAGGAAGGUCGCCAGUGCUUCACCCUUGCUGUCAUGACUGUAGCUUCCUUGGCAGAGUGUACAAGCCUUCUUACUGCCAUGGAGCAUGGGUAUAUUUGGCUCAGUAACUAUGCUUAGAAGUUGGGUGGAAGAAGUUGUCAUGACAAGCUUCUGUUCUGCCUUUUCCCCAAGGAUGUGAAUUAUAUUGGUUGACACUGAAGAAUGACUAGAAUGCAGAUGUAGUAGGGAUUUUUCAGGGUGUAGUUAUAAGAGAAAGAGGACAUCAUCCUUUCUCAUUUGAUGCCCACAGUUUUUCUCUCCUGGCAGCAGCCAUAGCUCCAGGUGGAAAAGGCAACCUACUCAUUGAGGAAGUUCUAACCUCUACAGUCCGGGCUCCCUGGAAGAGGGACUGAACACUGAGGCAUCUAAAUUGCGUAUCCCUGCUCAGCUUCCAGAAAGUGACUUGAGUGAUUUAAUGUUCCAGCAGAGCUAUGAGGCAAGGUGGCUUCCAUAUCUUUGAAGUCUGUGAGUACAAAAGUUAGUCCACUGGCUUUACUGGUUGAGAAUUCCACUUCCUCAUGACUGUAUUUGUGCCUUCCUGAAGCCAUGCGCUUGGAUAAUGCUGAUGGAUGACUCACCCAAGUGGGAAUGACCAUUUUUUUCAUUAGUCAAAAAGCUCCAAAUUUGAGUCAAAUGAUAUAUAAUUUUUGUGGAGGAAAGCGUAUCCAUCAUCUCUUGCUGGGUUACGCCACGAUAAUAAAUGACCCUCAAAUUUCAGUUCCUUACAAGAAUAAAAACUAAUAUUUCGCUCAUGUUCCAUGUUGGUUAAGGUCACCUAUGGCUCCAUCCCUCCUCCUCUUCACUUUGGCAUCUGUGUUGCUAGAAAAUUCCCAACUGAGGAUAUGAUGAGCCUUGUGUCAGAGGGAAAAUGUAUUGGAACCUCACAUGGCUCUCAAUGCUUCUACACCUGUCACUCUCACUGCCAUGUCACUUGCCAGAGGAAAUCACAUGGCCAAAUCUAAUAGGAAUGUAAAAUUGUCCCAAAGCAGACACAGUGACUAUUUUGCAAAAUAAUAAAAUCUAUCAGAAGGAGUGUGAGACAAAACUGUUUAGAGUCUGAGCAAGACUUGUGGGGAAAAUCUUUUGUUGGCACCCAGGGUGCCAAAUGUAUUUCAAAAAAUAGCUAUCAUAAGAGACCUUUAAACUAUGACCAUAGGACGAGGUGCCCCAGAAAGCUUUCCUAAAUUAGCCCAGAAGUCUCCUACUCACCAGCUUUCUUAAGGAGAGUCCCCUUCCACUGUCCUUAAUCCAUCAGUGAGCUGUUUUCUUUGUGGCAAUAUAAAAUAAUUAUGAAAAUAUGUCUUACUGCUUGCUUCUCUUAUUGGAUUAGAAGGUAUCUAAGAGCACAAUAAAUGUCAUUGCUUAACUGUAAAGUUCCUAAAAAAUCACAGCAAAUCCUAACUUGGAUAUUAUGUUCAUUUCUCAGAAUGAGAAAAUAAUUUGGUUCCAAGAUCCUUUAUCACUUAUUUUUUUCUUUUUCAAGAUACAGAGCAAAGCAGGCACUAUUCAUCCAUCCAUCUAUCCAACAAAUAUUGAAUGCCCAUUAUAGUCCAUCCACUAAGUCAGGUAUUGAAUUGUGAUACCAGAUGCUCAGUUUUUGCCCUUGUGAAUCUUACGUUUUAGUGGGAAUGACCCAGACAAAUCAAAUAACCACAAAAACGUAAUUAUAAACUGUGAUAAACAUUAGGAGCAAAACGUAAAAGCAUAAUUUAAGAAUAUAUAUAGAGGACUAACUUACUUGGUGUCUUUAUGAAGUCUUCUCUGAGGCAAUUACAAUUGAGCUGAGAUCUGGAAGAAAAGUAGCAGUUAACUAUAUAAAAUGAAGACAAAAAAUUCAAAGAAGCUGCAAAGGCAUGUGCAAAGGCCCUGAGGUGGGAGGAAGGGAAGAAAAACCAGUUGUGAGGGAGUAUAAAAAGCAAAAAAGCACACAAUGUGAAGCAAGUGGGGCCAGUUUACUCAGUGUCUUUUAUGUCUUUUUAGUCUUUAUUCACUGAAAGGUCUUUAGAAAGGACAUACCAAAAUCUGAGUUUUUAGGUGUCACUCUGGUUGGCAUGUGAAGUAGAUUGGAGAGUGGCAGAUGAGUGGAUGAAAUCUUUUGCAGUAACAGCGAUAGAAAUUUCUGCUCAGUGCAAAACUAGCCCCUAAAAAUUGAAUGGCAUACUACUGACAUUCUGGAUUUUUAGUUCCAAUAAAUAUUUUUUUAAAAAAAUUAGACUCUGGGACACCUCAGUGGUUGAGCAUCUGCAUUGGGCUCAGGGUGUGAUCCCGGGGUCCUGGGAUUGAGUUUCACAUCAGGCUCCCCAUGGGGAUAAAAUUAAUAAAAAAAAAUUAGACCCCAAUUUAGCAGAACUAAAAUCUAAUUUAAGUUAGCUCAUGGUUCAUGAUUUACAACACUGUUCAAAAUAUACCUCUGAGCUGAAUAAUCUCAACUAUACCACAAGUGUAGGCCUAUGACCCUCUAGGAUUUCAGUGGAGGGGCUUCAGGGCAUUCACAGAGCUUCCGAAAUUCCAUAAAAAUUAGGUAUGUUAUUCUUACAUGUUUUUCUAGGGAGAAGGUCUAUCAAUUUUAUCAAAUUCGAGACCCCCAAAUGAUUAAGAAAUACUGAUUCACCUUACCACUUGACCAACGCAUAGUUACACUAUCCUGGGAAAUAUGUCUUGAAUUGGUGGGAAAGGUUAGUAGGCCAGCAAAGGUUUGAUUCUCCAGGGCAGAGGGGCUGCUGGGAAGUGGCUGCCUAGCCAGAGACUGUGUACCCCUGUUCCCUGGGAUCCCUCAGUGGGGAGGGAGGGAUGUGACCACUUCUGACUGAUAGGAUGUAUGUAGACAUUUUACAUGACACUUGUGUGUGAAGUUGGGUAUGUAUCUGACAUACCUUUCCCAUAAUUUCUCCACCUUCUCUAGUGACCAUGGAGGUCACGUUUUGAAACUGACAGCAUCACAAGAUGGAAGAAUCUUUGACUGCUGAGUCACAGAGUCAGCCAGGAGGGCUGUCCAACUCUGAACACCUGCAUUGGAUUUUUGUGAUUAAGAAAUAAAUUUGUAUUGUCUUAUGCAAUAGAGAUUUAAGGUUAUUUGUUACAGCAGUUAAUCCACUCUGGCAUAAAAAAAAAUAACAUCUCACACAGGAAAGACACCGUAAUAUGGGUGUGUUGGCUGGAAAAAAGUCCUCUUUAGAGUUCUUCCUGGAAUAAAGAAACAACA